This 252-nucleotide ribosomal RNA is filed under the name uncultured bacterium. RNAcentral's name for it is "partial 16S ribosomal RNA". It matches the Rfam family "Bacterial small subunit ribosomal RNA", at positions 524 to 776 of the family's 1533-position model. The record is from RNAcentral.
UACGAAGGGGCUAGCGUUGUUCGGAAUCACUGGGCGUAAAGGGCGCGUAGGCGGCUUUAUAAGUCGGGGGUGAAAGCCUGUGGCUCAACCACAGAAUUGCCUUCGAUACUGUAGAGCUUGAGACCGGAAGAGGUAAGUGGAACUGCGAGUGUAGAGGUGAAAUUCGUAGAUAUUCGCAAGAACACCAGUGGCGAAGGCGGCUUACUGGUCCGGUUCUGACGCUGAGGCGCGAAAGCGUGGGGAGCAAACAGG